GACGAACGCUGGCGGCGUGCUUAACACAUGCAAGUCGUGCGGUAAGGCCCUUUCGGGGGUACACGAGCGGCGAACGGGUGAGUAACACGUGAGCAACCUGCCCUUCACUUUGGGAUAACUGCCGGAAACGGUGGCUAAUACCGGAUAUGACUUCCUCACGCAUGUGGGGUGGUGGAAAGCCUUCGGGUGGUGGGGGAUGGGCUCGCGGUCUAUCAGCUUGUUGGUGGGGUGAUGGCCUACCAAGGCUUCGACGGGUAGCCGGCCUGAGAGGGUGACCGGCCACACUGGGACUGAGACACGGCCCAGACUCCUACGGGAGGCAGCAGUGGGGAAGAGUGGACAAUGGGCGAAAGCCUGAUCCAGCAACGCCGCGUGAGGGAUGACGACCUUCGGGUUGUAAACCUCUUUCGCCUGCGACGAAGCGAGAGUGACGGUAGCAGGUAAAGAAGCACCGGCCAACUACGUG
RNAcentral lists this ribosomal RNA (466 nucleotides) under uncultured bacterium. RNAcentral's name for it is "partial 16S ribosomal RNA". It matches the Rfam family "Bacterial small subunit ribosomal RNA", at positions 28 to 507 of the family's 1533-position model. The record is from RNAcentral.